GAUGAACGCUGGCGGCGUGCCUAAUACAUGCAAGUCGAGCGAACAGACGAGGAGCUUGCUCCUCUGACGUUAGCGGCGGACGGGUGAGUAACACGUGGAUAACCUACCUAUAAGACUGGGAUAACUUCGGGAAACCGGAGCUAAUACCGGGUAAUAUAUUGAACCGCAUGGUUCAAUAGUGAAAGACGGUUUUGCUGUCACUUAUAGAUGGGUCCGCGCCGCAUUAGCUAGUUGGUAAGGUAACGGCUUACCAAGGCGACGAUGCGUAGCCGACCUGAGAGGGUGAUCGGCCACACUGGAACUGAGACACGGUCCAGACUCCUACGGGAGGCAGCAGUAGGGAAUCUUCCGCAAUGGGCGAAAGCCUGACGGAGCAACGCCGCGUGAGUGAUGAAGGUCUUCGGAUCGUAAAACUCUGUUAUUAGGGAAGAACAAAUGUGUAAGUAACUAUGCACGUCUUGACGGUACCUAAUCAGAAAGCCACGGCUAACUACGUG
This 497-nucleotide ribosomal RNA is filed under the name uncultured bacterium. Its description in RNAcentral is "partial 16S ribosomal RNA". It matches the Rfam family "Bacterial small subunit ribosomal RNA", at positions 28 to 507 of the family's 1533-position model. The record is from RNAcentral.